Molecule: ribosomal RNA, 253 nt
Filed under: uncultured bacterium
Lineage: Bacteria
Description: partial 16S ribosomal RNA
Rfam family: Bacterial small subunit ribosomal RNA
Source: RNAcentral
UCCUACGGGGCGCAGCAGUGGGGGAUAUUGCACGAUGGGGGAAACCCUGAUGCAGCGACGCCGCGUGUGGGAAGACGGUCUUCUGGAUUGUAAACCACUGUCCCCAGGGACGAAAAUGACGGUACCUGGGGAGGAAGCUCCGGCUAACUACGUGCCAGCAGCCGCGGUAAUACGUCGGGAGCAAGCGUUGUCCGGAAUUACUGGGUGUAAAGGGAGCGUAGGCGGGGAUGCAAGUUGUGUGUCACAACUACCG